Molecule: long non-coding RNA, 759 nt
Organism: Toxorhynchites rutilus septentrionalis
Lineage: Eukaryota; Metazoa; Arthropoda; Insecta; Diptera; Culicidae
Exons: 4
Source: RefSeq, a predicted model, not a curated record
AAAUUUGUUUACAAAACAUAUCAUAUCUUUCGGUGACAAAUGCAUUCGUCGGCAAAAUAGCUGCUCGCGCUUUACUGUAGAUAUCUACAAUCAGCGGUCGAAUUAAAAACAGUGCAGAAGGAUGUUUUGAGUAUGUUUUAGCUUCUAGCCGCGCAAUCAAUGCUUUUUUUCCAAGCAAGAUGUACUUCUGUUUGGAUCCUAUCGGCGGGGAAAAAAGUACUUACGGCGACGGUGACAAGAAAUAGCGCUGAUUGCGAGAUUACCAGAUCCAGAAGAUCCGGAAGGGCUGUUACAAGUAAUUGGUUUUGCUAGAGCAAAAGGAGGUUGACAAUGAUUGCAACAGGUGAAAUAAACUGUUGGAAUCACGACUAUCGAUCACGCCAGAAGAUCCGGAAAGAGUUGUUUUUGUUUUUCGUUAUGCGGACCUUGUUUCCGCAUCCUUUUACUGCACAAUAAUACGGCAUCUGAAGAAAAUAAGAUAUUCACAAUAUAAUUUUGGCGUGAUAGAGAACCGCGAGAUGAACGAUUAUCUGUGGAGGAGUUGGACAACAGAUUUCUUAGACUUAUAGCACUUUAAUCACACUCACAAGCUCUUCAAAUCCUCACUGUCCCCCAAAACUAUUGAAUAAUAUUUGUUUUCCUCAGCGAGUUGAUAUGAAACCAUAACGACACAACCAAACAAAAAGUAAACAAUGCAGAAAGCUACGUCUCGCAACUCGUCUCACGUAUUGUCAUGAAAGUGUCAAGAACGAAACACCU